ACGGAAGGCAGCAGUGAGGAAUAUUGGUCAAUGGACGGAAGUCUGAACCAGCCAUGCCGCGUGAAGGAAUAAGGCCCUAUGGGUCGUAAACUUCUUUUGUGGUGGAGCAAUAAGGUGCACGUGUGCAUCGAUGAGAGUACAUCACGAAUAAGCAUCGGCUAACUCCGUGCCAGCAGCCGCGGUAAUACGGAGGAUGCGAGCGUUAUCCGGAUUUAUUGGGUUUAAAGGGUGCGUAGGCUGUUCUUCAAGUCAGAGGUGAAAUACCUGGGCUCAACCCUGGAACUGCCUUUGAUACUGGAGGGCUUGAAUACUGUUGCCGUGGGAGGAAUGAGUAGUGUAGCGGUGAAAUGCAUAGAUAUUACUCAGAACACCGAUUGCGAAGGCAUCUCACGAAGCAGCGAUUGACGCUGAGGCACGAAAGCGUGGGGAUCAAACAGGAUUAGAUACCCUGGUA
This 454-nucleotide ribosomal RNA is filed under the name uncultured Rikenellaceae bacterium. RNAcentral describes it as "partial 16S ribosomal RNA". It matches the Rfam family "Bacterial small subunit ribosomal RNA", at positions 341 to 792 of the family's 1533-position model. The record is from RNAcentral. Lineage: Bacteria; Pseudomonadati; Bacteroidota; Bacteroidia; Bacteroidales; Rikenellaceae.